This 246-nucleotide ribosomal RNA is filed under the name uncultured bacterium. RNAcentral's name for it is "partial 16S ribosomal RNA". It matches the Rfam family "Bacterial small subunit ribosomal RNA", at positions 527 to 772 of the family's 1533-position model. The record is from RNAcentral.
GUAUGGUGCAAGCGUUAUCCGGAAUGACUGGGUGUAAAGGGAGCGUAGACGGUUGUACAAGUCUGAUGUGAAAGCCCACGGCUCAACUGUGGGAGUGCAUUGGAAACUGUAGAACUAGAGUAUCGGAGAGGCAAGUGGAAUUCCUAGUGUAGCGGUGAAAUGCGUAGAUAUUAGGAGGAACACCAGUGGCGAAGGCGGCUUGCUGGGCGAAAACUGACGUUGAGGCUCGAAAGCGUGGGGAGCAAA